AGAGUUUGAUCAUGGCUCAGAACGAACGCUGGCGGCAUGCCUAACACAUGCAAGUCGAACGAAGGCUUCGGCCUUAGUGGCGCACGGGUGCGUAACGCGUGGGAAUCUGCCCUUGGGUACGGAAUAACAGUUAGAAAUGACUGCUAAUACCGUAUAAUGACUUCGGUCCAAAGAUUUAUCGCCCAGGGAUGAGCCCGCGUCGGAUUAGCUAGUUGGUGAGGUAAAAGCUCACCAAGGCGACGAUCCGUAGCUGGUCUGAGAGGAUGAUCAGCCACACUGGGACUGAGACACGGCCCAGACUCCUACGGGAGGCAGCAGUGGGGAAUAUUGGACAAUGGGCGCAAGCCUGAUCCAGCAAUGCCGCGUGAGUGAUGAAGGCCUUAGGGUUGUAAAGCUCUUUUACCCGGGAAGAUAAUGACUGUACCGGGAGAAUAAGCCCCGGCUAACUCCGUGCCAGCCGCCGCGGUAAUUC
Molecule: ribosomal RNA, 472 nt
Filed under: uncultured bacterium
Lineage: Bacteria
Description: bacterial SSU rRNA
Rfam family: Bacterial small subunit ribosomal RNA
Source: RNAcentral